This is a long non-coding RNA of Ruditapes philippinarum (Manila clam), 1237 nucleotides long. RefSeq lists it as uncharacterized. Lineage: Eukaryota; Metazoa; Mollusca; Bivalvia; Venerida; Veneridae. The record is from RefSeq and is a predicted model, not a curated record. The transcript is spliced from 2 exons.
UUAGCAGUGAAUACAGUUCUAUCACAAUUUGCGGGAUUACAAUAUAAGAAUGGGUACCUAACAACGCAAAGUAGUUCUACACAGAUUUUCUUGUCACACACAAGUGAUAAUAUUUUGAAUUGUCAGUAGUUCAUUUUUGAUUGUGUUAUUUCUAUCCUAUAUCAUUUGCAUGUUUCAGGAUAUAAUCAGUAAAAAAUAUCAUUAGUAUUCAUUCGCGUUAACUUUGAGUAAGGAAGUAGUUCGUACCAAAACAAAGUUUUCGACGUCACGCUAUUUUUGUAUGUGAAAGCUGAUCUCAUCAUUUUCUAAAAGUAGGUACAGAAAACUUACAAUAUUAUUUGAACUUAAUGUAAUCUGUUUUGGAAUUCUUAUUUGGAUUUCAUGAUGUGUAACAGGUGUCUUGAUAUAUAUCUUUUGUUGUUUGAGUUGUUUCCCUUGGUUUCCCGCAAUAUCACUAGUUUUGUCUAUGUUUAAGCGGCUUUGUUUGUAAAAAGUUCAUAAGUGUUCUUAAUAUAUUGGAAAUAUGGAUUAUUGAUAGUUGGUCAGUAUUAUUUUGAGUUGCAUUUGGUUUAAACUAGUGUUUUAUAGAGUGUAUGUCAUAUAUGAUUUUUUAAUUAAGUAAUGAGUGUGGUCUGAUUUGAAAUGUCAUCAGUUUUCGUGAUUUGGAACCUUUGAGAAUUGUUUUACGAAAAAUCCGUUAAUCUAGCUCUCUGUUUACUUAAUCUCACAUUUUAUUCAUAUCACUUUGCACAUUGUGUUUAUUAUAUUUGCAGAAGUUACAGCAGAGAGAGAGUUUGACAGUAUGCGUGUUUGAAGAAGAUAAUGCUAUUAUUAUUGGUACAUUCAAUUCCACGAACUGAGUGUUGAUUUCCUCGAUUUCAUUGACUCGAUGAUUCAUUCUCUGAUUGUCAAAUUGUUGAUUGAAUGUUCUAAUGAUCAAUCAACUUAUUGAUUUACUGAUUGAUUGGACAUGUCAUGGAGCUUAAUAUAGAUGGAGAAGUAACUUAGACGUCAUACAGUUAAAUUCAGUAUUAUUGGGGUUGUUCUAACGCAAGUUAUCAUGUGUUUCGGGAUUUUCCAAGAUUUUAUGCAUCCUGGGUAAUAGUAGCCAAAAUACCGCCAUAUUGAAUUCCAAGAGGAACAUUGACAAAAAUGACGAAGCAUUUUCUACUUACAUAAGAAGCAAUAGUUCUUUAUGUUAAAACGUAUCAUACACACUUUUCUACACAGAUAUUUU